This 345-nucleotide RNase P RNA is filed under the name Clostridia bacterium. RNAcentral's name for it is "RNase P RNA component class A". It matches the Rfam family "Bacterial RNase P class A". Rfam says of the family: Ribonuclease P (RNase P) is a ubiquitous endoribonuclease, found in archaea, bacteria and eukarya as well as chloroplasts and mitochondria. Its best characterised activity is the generation of mature 5'-ends of tRNAs by cleaving the 5'-leader elements of precursor-tRNAs. The record is from RNAcentral. Lineage: Bacteria; Bacillati; Bacillota; Clostridia.
GCAGUCAGUUAUGCGGUCGCGGGGGCGGAGAGAAACCGUCAAUGAGGAAAGUCCGGGCUUCAUAGAAACAGGGUGCCGGAGAAAUUCCGGUGAAGGCGACUUUAAGGAAAGUGCAACAGAAAUAAACCGCCGCAAGGCAAGGAUGGAAAGGCGGGGUAAGAGCCCACCGCCCUUACGGUAACGCAAGGGGCAAUGUAAACCCCACCCGAAGCAAGAUUGACAAAUUAGUUCUAUGGGAGUUUCACCGAACUAAUUUACUAAAAUAUCGCUGGAGGGUAUAGGAGACUAUACUCGUAGAUAAAUGACCGCACACGACAGAACCCGGCUUACAGAUUGGCUGCUUUA